CCGCGAGGCAGGGUGAGGGGCGCCACCGAGGAAGCGCCCACCGGGCUCCCGGGGCUGCCAGGCCCCAAAUUGAGGAAGUUGACUGCCAGAUCACACUCUGUUGGCCCACGCAUUCCAUUCAUCCUUUCUAAUGUCUACACCAUAUUUUGGAUAACAUGCCAUCAUCUCACAUUGUGUUGAAAGAAGAAACCAGAAUGUUGGGGUUGAUGUAUGCCAUAUGGAUGAAUUUAAACAGUUUCGGCCUUGCAAUAAUUGGUAUACUUCUAAUUGCAUGUGAAAUUAUACUCUUUUUAACGAAAGAUGAAACUAUUCAGUGGCCACAUGUACCCAGUAACAGAGGGAGCAAAGCAAAUCUUAUCCUCAAAGAACUGCAGCUGCUUGUUAGAUCUACCUGGUGGUUCCAUAGAGAAACUGCUCAGAGAACCUGCCUUUACCUCGCCUAAAACAGAACUAUCCCGGAGCUCAGCAAAGGAGUCCAUUCAUCCUCUAUAACUGCUAUACAAUAUCUCUGUUAAAAUGCUGAGAAGAUUUAUCCUAAAAGAAGGCACCAAAGCAAUGGGGGCUGUGCAAAUAAUGAUUGGCCUGAUUCACAGUGCACUGGGAACUCUCUGAAUUCAUUGGAUUUUGCUAAGAGAGGAUUCAAGUGGUUCUGGUCCUAUCCCUAUAAUUGCUGUAGUAAUUUACUCAUUUUUGUCAUUAUUUUUUUUCAUCAACUCAGGAUCCAGUAGUGUAAUACAGAAGCCUGUUACGAGAUAUAAGGCACUUUGCCCUCGGAAAUCUCACUGUCGGAAUCCUUGGAAAUCACACCACGCACAACUUCUAUUUCUUCAUAAUUUGCAAAGAACCAGUGUGACUCCAGUCAAGAACAAAAGAUUAAUUGUGAAUUAGCGAAGAACUCUAAUUUUUUCAAGCAGCCACAUGGAAAACGCAUUCUAAUGAAAUCCUUUCCAUUGCUCUUUUUUCUUAGUUCUUCAAUAAAGCAUGCGAUUUGAUCACAAAUUGACUCUUCCCUUUUUAAAAGCCAGUAUGGGUUAACA
RNAcentral lists this long non-coding RNA (1037 nucleotides) under Homo sapiens (human). RNAcentral's name for it is "HSALNT0362926". Lineage: Eukaryota; Metazoa; Chordata; Mammalia; Primates; Hominidae. The record is from RNAcentral.